GACGAACGCUGGCGGCGUGCCUAAUACAUGCAAGUAGGACGCAGUUGCGAACGGGAGAGUAACGCGUAGGUAACUACCUAUCAGAGGGGGAUAACCACUGGUAACGCUAGCUAAUACCGCAUACUAGUAGAUGGACCUGCGUUGUAUUGGCUAGUAGGUAGGGUAAUGGCCUACCUAGGCAACGAUACAUCACCGACUGGAGAGGGUGAUCGAGCCAAAUGGGAACGGAAAAAGGCCCAGACUCCUACGGGGGGGAGCAGUUGGGAAUCUUCGGCAAUGGGGGGAACGCUGACCGAGCAACGCCGCGUGAGUGGAGGAGGUUCUCGGAUCGGAAAGCUCUGUUGUUAAGGAAGCGGUACUUAACCAGAAAGGGACGGCUAACUACGUGCCAGCAGCCGCGGUAAUUC
Molecule: ribosomal RNA, 407 nt
Filed under: uncultured bacterium
Lineage: Bacteria
Description: partial 16S ribosomal RNA
Rfam family: Bacterial small subunit ribosomal RNA
Source: RNAcentral